CCCUUAGAUGUUCUGGGCAGCACGCGCGCUGCAAUGGUCUUCGCAAGCGGAUGCAUUCUCGAAGGAGAAUGCCAAUCUUGGAAUCUAUGCCUUGGUCGGGACAGUUGCUUGCAAUUUUUCGACUCGAACCAGGAAUUCCUUGUAAUCGUGAUUCAUCACAUCACGAUGAAUACGUCCCUGCCCUUUGUACACACCGCCCGUCGCUCCUACCGAUCGAAGAGUUAGGUGAAUUGUUUUGAUCGAUAAGAUUUGACUAUGGUCAACUCUCGUUGUGAAAUUCUGUGAAUCUGACUGUUUAGAGGAAGGAAAAGUCGUAACA
This 319-nucleotide ribosomal RNA is filed under the name uncultured eukaryote. Its description in RNAcentral is "partial 18S ribosomal RNA". It matches the Rfam family "Eukaryotic small subunit ribosomal RNA", at positions 1470 to 1796 of the family's 1831-position model. The record is from RNAcentral.